UUGUUUAAACUACUCAGCCUGGGGUAAUUUGUUAAAGUAACCUAAACUAAGACAGCUUUUCUAAGACAGCCUCUCAAAUCAAUUUUCAGAUUCCUGAAGUGAUUAAUGAGGUCAUAUAUCCUACCAGGAAAGCUAGACCAGUCUAUGGCAAAUUCCACUGGGACAUCCCAUUCGCCACAAGGACUGAAAUGACCCACUCCGAAAGCAGCAUGUGAAGCUUUGAGCCUUUCUUCCCCCCGCCACUCUCCAGAGAACAUUAAAUCGUACUUUUCAUUCCCCUCACCAUAGGGGGAACCCCCUUAAUGAUGACAGAGAAAGAA
This 320-nucleotide long non-coding RNA is filed under the name Callithrix jacchus (white-tufted-ear marmoset). Its description in RNAcentral is "lncRNA (ENSCJAG00000052997.2)". The record is from RNAcentral. Lineage: Eukaryota; Metazoa; Chordata; Mammalia; Primates; Cebidae.